Pelobates cultripes (western spadefoot toad) is the source of this 1219-nucleotide non-coding RNA. The record is from the annotation of a GenBank genome assembly. Lineage: Eukaryota; Metazoa; Chordata; Amphibia; Anura; Pelobatidae.
UUUAACGCUGGUGCAUGCAGCUUCAGCGCAUGUCGGUUGUUGCAUGUCUGCUCCAUUUGCUUGACUAUGUGCCCGGCCCGACUGUCAUCUAAAAAAUUGACUGACCGAGGUCAACGUAGAUAUUGUGGCUUACUAACUACACUCCCACCCAGUAAGGCAUUUGGUGUCUGGUUUCUCACAGGGUUUUCACACGGGCCUCAUCACCAUCCCCACAGGCAUGCUUGAAUGCCCUAACCUGCUCUCAGCUUUUAACGUCUCUCUUACGGUGGACCACCUACUGCCCACAGAAACUAAAGCAGGCUUCAUGAUUGGCCCUUUCACUGGAUCUCCUUUUUCAUCUUGGCGAACCAACCCCAUUGGCAUGGCCGUGCACAAAUACUCAAAUAAAAAAAGUUUAAUUAUCGACCUCUCUGUACCUCAUUCUUCUUCCAUCCCCAGCAUAAACUCUCUCAUUCCUGCUGAGGAGUUUUCAUUACACUAUGCUAAAAUCGAUGACUCUGUGCAAGCCAUUAUCACAGCAGGCAGCAAGGCAUGGUUGAGCAGGUUUUAUUUUUCUACCAGGCUUACUUUUGGGUCAAGGAGCAGCCCUAAGCUGUUUGACAUUUUCGCUAAAACGCUCUGUUGGCUGCUCCUAAACACAGUUAGGUGUCCAUCUGUUAUCCACUAUUUGGAUGAUUUUUUCUAGAUGGAUCCGGGGUCACAUACACCAAUUAGCAUUCACAACACCACAGCCCUCUUCAGUACACUAGGGGUACCCCUGUCACCAAGUAAAACGCUUGGACCCACUACCAAGCUAGUUUUCUUGGGCAUCGUUUUGGAUACAGUAUCCUUCCAAGCCAGCCUACCACCAGAGAAAUUGACCCGCAUUGGGGACGAAAUUGGUCUGUUCCUGAGGAGUGAUACAUGCACCAGGAAGGGACUCCAGUCCUUAUUGGGGUCCCUUAACUUCAUGAUGCGGAUCAUUCCGCAGGGCAGAUCAUUCCGCAGGGCAGAUCAUUCGUCUCUAGGCUACUGUGUUUACUCCAUGGGGUGCCCGACUCCUGCCUAAUUACUUUGGAUGGUCCCGCCAUUGCUGAUCUACACAUGUGGACUUCUGCACUUCUUGGUCGAAUGGCCGAAUCUGCACUUCUUGGCCGAAUGGCAUAUAGUCUCUCUGUUAAUAUCUCUACUAUCAGAGCUUUCACCUACUAUUUACACAGACGCAUCAGCACAUACCGGG